GUGCCAGCCGCCGCGUAAUACGAAGGGGGCUAGCGUUGCUCGGAAUUACUGGGCGUAAAGGGCGCGUAGGCGGCUUAGUUAGUCAGGCGUGAAAUUCCUGGGCUCAACCUGGGGACUGCGCUUGAUACGGCUAGGCUAGAGGAUGGAAGAGGGUCGCGGAAUUCCCAGUGUAGAGGUGAAAUUCGUAGAUAUUGGGAAGAACACCGGUGGCGAAGGCGGCGACCUGGUCCAUUACUGACGCUGAGGCGCGACAGCGUGGGGGAGCAAACAGGAUUAGAUACCCUGGUAGUCCACGCCGUAAACGAUGUGCGCUGGAUGUUGGGUGGCCUAGCCACUCAGUGUCGUAGCUAACGCGGUAAGCCCCCCGCCUGGGGGAGUACGGCCGCAAGUUUGAAACUCAAAGGAAUUGACGGGGGCCCGCACAAGCGGGGGAGCAUGUGGUUUAUUUCGAAGCAACGCGCAAAACCUUACCAGCCCUUGACAUGGUCACGACUGGUUCAGAGAUGGACUUUCCCCCGCAAGGGGCGUGAUGCACAGGGUGCUGCAUGGCUGUCGUCAGCUCGUGCCGUGAGAUGUUGGGUUAAGUCCCGCAAGAGCGCAACCCUCGUUUUUAUUUGCCAGCACGUUUGGGUGGGCACUCUAGAGGAAUCUGCCGGUAACAAGCCGGGAGAAGGGUGGGAUGACGUCAAGUCUCAUGGCCCUAUAUGGGCUGGGCUAACACGUGCUACAAUGGCGUGACAUGGGAGCAGGUUAGCGAUACGAGCGAUCCAAAAGGCUGUCUCAGUCAGAUCGCAUUCUGCACUCGAUGCGUGAAG
RNAcentral lists this ribosomal RNA (815 nucleotides) under uncultured bacterium. RNAcentral describes it as "bacterial SSU rRNA". It matches the Rfam family "Bacterial small subunit ribosomal RNA", at positions 505 to 1325 of the family's 1533-position model. The record is from RNAcentral.